Molecule: unclassified non-coding RNA, 213 nt
Filed under: Hevea brasiliensis (rubber tree)
Lineage: Eukaryota; Viridiplantae; Streptophyta; Magnoliopsida; Malpighiales; Euphorbiaceae
Source: RNAcentral
UUUAUCAGAUCUUUCUCCACUUGAGAGGAGUCUUCCUUCAGCAACAUCUGGAUCAACAAAGACAACUGCCUCAGGAUGGGCGGCUUUCUAGUUGUGUGGGGUAUUUCUUCAGUAUGAAACCUCUGUUUGAUGUUUUCUUUAAAAGAAAGUGAAAAUGAAUAAUAUAAUUGAGAAAAGUAAGAAAGCACAGCCAUAUACGUUCAUGUGUGGAAA